AUCUGUGGAGUUUCUCAACAGUCAGC
Molecule: non-coding RNA, 26 nt
Filed under: Cricetulus griseus (Chinese hamster)
Lineage: Eukaryota; Metazoa; Chordata; Mammalia; Rodentia; Cricetidae
Source: RNAcentral